RNAcentral lists this ribosomal RNA (253 nucleotides) under uncultured bacterium. RNAcentral's name for it is "partial 16S ribosomal RNA". It matches the Rfam family "Bacterial small subunit ribosomal RNA", at positions 524 to 776 of the family's 1533-position model. The record is from RNAcentral.
UACAGAGGGUGCGAGCGUUGUUCGGAUUCACUGGGCGUAAAGGGUGCGUAGGUGGUGAGGUAAGUCGGAUGUGAAAUCUCCGAGCUCAACUCGGAAAUGGCAUUGGAAACUACCUUGCUUGAGGGUUGGAGGGGGGACUGGAAUACUUGGUGUAGCAGUGAAAUGCGUAGAUAUCAAGUGGAACACCAGUGGCGAAGGCGAGUCCCUGGACAACUCCUGACACUGAGGCACGAAAGCUAGGGGAGCAAACAGG